UACGUAGGGUGCAAGCGUUGUCCGGAAUUAUUGGGCGUAAAGAGCUCGUAGGCGGUCUGUCACGUCGGCUGUGAAAACCCGAGGCUCAACCUCGGGCCUGCAGUCGAUACGGGCAGACUAGAGUUCGGUAGGGGGAGACUGGAAUUCCUGGUGUAGCGGUGAAAUGCGCAGAUAUCAGGAGGAACACCGGUGGCGAAGGCGGGUCUCUGGGCCGAAACUGGACGCUGAGGAGCAAAAGCGUGGGGAGCGAACGAGG
This 256-nucleotide ribosomal RNA is filed under the name uncultured bacterium. RNAcentral describes it as "partial 16S ribosomal RNA". It matches the Rfam family "Bacterial small subunit ribosomal RNA", at positions 524 to 777 of the family's 1533-position model. The record is from RNAcentral.